Molecule: non-coding RNA, 74 nt
Organism: Araneus ventricosus
Lineage: Eukaryota; Metazoa; Arthropoda; Arachnida; Araneae; Araneidae
Source: the annotation of a GenBank genome assembly
AAGCACCGGCGAGAUUCGAAAUCGCGAUCACCUGCAUAAUAGACAGGCGCUUUAACCAACUAAUCCAUGGCGCC